GAUGAACGCUGGCGGCGUGCCUAAUACAUGCAAGUCGAGCGAACAGACGAGGAGCUUGCUCCUUUGACGUUAGCGGCGGACGGGUGAGUAACACGUGGGUAACCUACCUAUAAGACUGGGAUAACUUCGGGAAACCGGAGCUAAUACCGGAUAAUAUUUCGAACCGCAUGGUUCGAUAGUGAAAGAUGGCUUUUCUAUCACUUAUAGAUGGACCUGCGCCGUAUUAGCUAGUUGGUAAGGUAACGGCUUACCAAGGCAACGAUACGUAGCCGACCUGAGAGGGUGAUCGGCCACAAUGGAACGGAGACACGGUCCAGACGACUACGGGAGGAAGCAGUAGGGAAUCUUACGGAAUGGGGGGAAGCCUGACGGAGCAACGCCGCGUGAGUGAUGAAGGUCUUCGGAUCGUAAAACUCUGUUAUUAGGGAAGAACAAACGUGUAAGUAACUGUGCACGUCUUGACGGUACCUAAUCAGAAAGCCACGGCUAACUACGUG
This 497-nucleotide ribosomal RNA is filed under the name uncultured bacterium. Its description in RNAcentral is "partial 16S ribosomal RNA". It matches the Rfam family "Bacterial small subunit ribosomal RNA", at positions 28 to 507 of the family's 1533-position model. The record is from RNAcentral.